UGACCUCAAAUCAGGUAGGACUACCCGCUGAACUUAAGCAUAUCAAUAAGCGGAGGAAAAGAACUAACAAGGAUGGCCAUAGUAACUGCGAGUGAAGCGGGAAAAGCUCAAAUUUAAAAUCUGGCGGGCCCCUCCGUCCGAGUUGUAUUUCCCCAAGCGUCG
This 162-nucleotide ribosomal RNA is filed under the name uncultured fungus. RNAcentral describes it as "partial 28S ribosomal RNA". It matches the Rfam family "Eukaryotic large subunit ribosomal RNA", at positions 1 to 162 of the family's 3401-position model. The record is from RNAcentral. Lineage: Eukaryota; Fungi.